This 65-nucleotide transfer RNA is filed under the name Cnizocoris sinensis. RNAcentral's name for it is "tRNA-Leu". The record is from RNAcentral. Lineage: Eukaryota; Metazoa; Arthropoda; Insecta; Hemiptera; Phymatidae.
AAUAACUUGGCAGAUUAAUGCAAUGAAUUUAGAAUUCAUUUAUGUAAAUUUUUUUACAGUUAUUA